This 74-nucleotide transfer RNA is filed under the name Pythium insidiosum. RNAcentral's name for it is "tRNA-Asp". It matches the Rfam family "tRNA". Rfam says of the family: Transfer RNA (tRNA) molecules are approximately 80 nucleotides in length. Their secondary structure includes four short double-helical elements and three loops (D, anti-codon, and T loops). The record is from RNAcentral. Lineage: Eukaryota; Oomycota; Peronosporomycetes; Pythiales; Pythiaceae.
UCCUCGUUAGUAUAGUGGUUAGUAUACCCGCCUGUCACCGCGGGUGACGCCCGGUUCAAUUCCCGGACGGGGAG